GUGUGUGUGUGUGUGUGUGUUCAGCAUUUGCGCAGCUGGCUGGCAUGGAAGGUAGACACUGUUACAAAUUCUUUACCACAAAAGAGGAACGCUGCACAGAGGUGGUCAAGAACCCAGAUACAGGAAAGCACCCAGCACAUGUACAACCCCAUCGUCCCCAAAGCUGCCUUGGCUAUAGGACUUCUUUGGCUGGUGGGAAGUUGCUGAGGGAACGGGGGAACGGGCUACUUCCAUACAGAGUUGUAACAGCCUGUCUGUGAUCUGCUGUCCCCCCUUACCUGCCUCAGUGAUGGUGGGAGUGUGUGUCUCGAUCCUGUGGGCGGGUGCCUGAGCGACUAUGAGAAGCAGAGCCCUCUGCUGACCUGAACUAGAGAUGCACAGAAGGAACGGUGGCUAAAGGAUAAACAGCGUGACAUCAAUCUCAGCUCAAACGUGUGCUCUGCGGAGGGGACCCUGGACGAUCAAGGUGUCAACAGCGCUCUCGGCCUGGGCCCCCAGGAGGGAAGCUACACAUACAAUGUGGCACGCAUACCUGAUAGGUAAACACUAUUCGUCGAUCGCAUUUUGCCUGAUCCCUCCACACUGAGACAAGCACUUGGUUGCCCCAGAGCCUACGGCCUGUCCUCUAUUAUUUCACCCGAUCUCUGACACGAUCUGUUUCUGUCUGAGUCUGCCUGCUGCGGCGUGUAGCCCGGGAUCUACUCACCACAACCUGGAACCUGACCCGGCAUCUAGUAGAAAUUCAAGCACGCUUGCAGAACUGGACUGGAUUGGGGUGGGGUUGGCUCAGUUUAUAAACAGACAUGUGUCAAGAAUUCAUCUUUCCUUUCUGUGGUGCACUGACUUAGGAGCAUCUUAUUAUUAAUUAUCUCCUACAGGCAAUGGAAGAAAGGACAUUUGGCCCGGAACCCCAGUUUGGGUGCCCGACAAUAGGAAAUUGGAAAUACUGUCCUGCUGAUGACAACAGCCUAAACCUUGAAAAUGCACUUUUAAUAAAGGGUGGCUAGAAUGCCAAUUUAGCACAUAACUGGUGCGUUCAGACAGAACCUAGUAAGAGGAAAGGAAAUUUACUUUCUAAGGAUUAAGUCUCCUACCCUGCUGUAAUUUAGGCUUUAAGGCUCCUCACAUGGUAUAAACAUCCCUCUAUUAAUUGGAAACAUUGCUGGUUAACAUAGACAUCUCAAUUUCAAAGUGUUUUAUAUUCUGUACUACACUUGGAAAAUAUUUUCCAAUGGGCAUGUGGCGAACCUCUCAUAUGACUUCAGGAUCAGUGCUGGGUAGAAUUUAUUAAAAGAUAAAUGCAAGUGAACUUCUGUCUUUUCAAAGGGAACAGGAAGGUCACUGCUGGAAAAAGACCAAGCUCCCUCUUUUAUGGAGGAGAAAACCAAGGCCCAGAAGGUUAGGUGACUUCCCGAAAUCACACAGCCUUCAGGUGGAGGCAGCAUCAUGUGGGAAGGUCCCGAGUCAGAGAAACUGGAGUGGGUGUGGGGUGAGGCAGAAUGGAUGGCCAGGGACUGGGGGGCCAUCUGAAGGGGUUUGGAUUGCAUUUCACACUCAAUGGGCAGCAGUUGAAGGGUUUCAUGCAGGGAAAUGCUGGCAUCUGACCCGUGUUUUCUAAUAUAAAGACCAAACUUCUGCUGGAAGGAUAAAGACCAGCUGGAGGCUUUUACUGUGAUGCAGCUGUGAGAUGAUAGGGACCCAGGUGAAGGUAUGACAGUGGACUUGGAAAGAAGAGAAUGAGGAUGAAAUAUAUUUUAGAAUCGGGGAUGAAAUAUACUUUGGAAUCAGAAUCAAGAGGACUUGUGGGCGGUAAGGAAGGAGGGAUCAAGGGUGACUGUUAUGUUUGUGGCUUGGGUGGAGGGGGUUCUCUAUAUGAGAUGGGCAGGUAUACGAACAGGGAACCAAGAAUUCAGUUUUGAACAUGUAGUAAAGUCAGGCUUGAAAUGGAAACAGUGUAAUAGAUGUGAAAUGCACAGUGUUGGCACAGAGUAAGCGUGGUGGCCUUGAUAGUGUUGUUUUUAUCACUGGCAUUUUCAGUACCACGCCAAUGGGGUUACUAAGGCCGAGGAGAAAAGAGAUUUAUAUUGUAAACUCUGGUGUAGUUCGUACACAGGCUAGUUGACUGUGUAGUGAGUGACACACACACUUAUUGGUAAAUCGAUGUGAGUGUCGUGAAUGUUCGGUAUAAAUUGGCACUCGUAGAAACGACAUUGAUUUUGGUGACUCUCCUAUAGGACAAGUCUGAGACCCGCUUUGGGUUAGAGCUGUUAAUGGUGAUCUGAAGCUUGUACAGAAUUUGUUGCUGAGUUUUUCCACUCCUCCAAAGUAAAGAGCUUCAACUUAAAAUAAACAUCAGUACAACUACUGGUAUUCACGUUU
This is a long non-coding RNA of Felis catus (domestic cat), 2379 nucleotides long. RefSeq lists it as uncharacterized. The record is from RefSeq and is a predicted model, not a curated record. The transcript is spliced from 4 exons. Lineage: Eukaryota; Metazoa; Chordata; Mammalia; Carnivora; Felidae.